ACUCCAAACCCAUCAUCUCACUCUCUCUAUAUUAGUCUUUUCUCAAUACCCAAAUAUCACUUUUUCUUAACCUUAACCUUAACCCUAAUAUCAUCUCACUCUUUUUUCAUAUCAAAUGGCUGCUGAACCUCAAAAACCUGCUGAAGAAGUUGCCACAACCACCUCUGAAACUGUUGUUGAGAAAGAACAACAGGCUGAUGGAGUUGUAGCUGCUGCUGUUACCGCUGCCGCUGUUACCGCUGCCACCACUGAUAAGGAAGCUGUUGCUGAUCCUCCUCCUGCUGUUGCUGAUGAGGCUGAGAAGCCGGCGGAAGUUGUGGCUGAUAAGGUGGCGGAUGAAACUGUUGUUGAUGAAAGCAAGGUUUCUCAAUCGGUUUCUUUUAAGGAAGAAACUAACGUGGUUUCUGAACUUCCUGACGUUCAGAAAAAAGCACUUGAUGAACUUAAACAACUUAUUCAAGAAGCGCUUAACAAACAUGAAUUCACCGCUCCUCCACCCGCUCCAGUCAAAGCACCUGAACCUGAAGUAGCUGUAAAAGAAGAGAAAAAGCCUGAAGAAGAUGAAAAGAAAACCGAAGAGGUGGUAGAAGAGAAGAAAGAUGAAGCAGUAGUUGAGGAGAAGAAGGUUGAUGAAGAAAAAGGUUCAACCUCUGAGGAACCUAAAGUUGAAACUGCUGAACCUGAAAAGGAGGAGAAGAAAGUGGAGGAAACGGUUGUAGAAGUUGUUGAGAAAAUAGCUGCAAGUACCGAAGAAGACGGUGCGAAAACAGUUGAGGCUAUUCAGGAAAGUAUAGUAUCUGUUCCAGUUACUGAAGGUGAACAACCUGUUGCUGAGCCUGUUGCUGAA
This 847-nucleotide long non-coding RNA is filed under the name Medicago truncatula (barrel medic). RNAcentral describes it as "long non-coding RNA (MTRU_LNC001627)". Lineage: Eukaryota; Viridiplantae; Streptophyta; Magnoliopsida; Fabales; Fabaceae. The record is from RNAcentral.